UCGCCGCGGGAAUACGAAGGGGGCUAGCGUUGCUCGGAAUGACUGGGCGUAAAGGGCGCGUAGGCGGAUGGCACAGUCAGAUGUGAAAUUCCCGGGCUUAACCUGGGGGCUGCAUUUGAUACGUGUUGUCUAGAGUGAGGAAGAGGGUCGUGGAAUUCCCAGUGUAGAGGUGAAAUUCGUAGAUAUUGGGAAGAACACCGGUGGCGAAGGCGGCGACCUGGUCCUUUACUGACGCUGAGGCGCGAAAGCGUGGGGAGCAAACAGGAUUAGAUACCCCCGUAGUCCCUGUCUCUUAUACACA
This 301-nucleotide ribosomal RNA is filed under the name uncultured bacterium. RNAcentral's name for it is "partial 16S ribosomal RNA". It matches the Rfam family "Bacterial small subunit ribosomal RNA", at positions 512 to 810 of the family's 1533-position model. The record is from RNAcentral.